CACGGGGGGAGCAAGCGUUGUUCGGAAUCACUGGGCGUAAAGGGCGUCUAGGCGGUCAGGUAAGUGGGAUGUGAAAUGCCCCGGCUCACCCGGGGACCGGCAUCCCAUACUGCUUGGCUUGAGUACGGGAGAGGAUGUGGGAAUUCCUGGUGUAGCGGUGAAAUGCGUAGAUAUCAGGAGGAACACCGGUGGCGGAGGCGCACAUCUGGCCCGAUACUGACGCUGAAGCGCGAAAGCUAGGGGAGCAAACGGG
This 253-nucleotide ribosomal RNA is filed under the name uncultured bacterium. RNAcentral describes it as "partial 16S ribosomal RNA". It matches the Rfam family "Bacterial small subunit ribosomal RNA", at positions 524 to 776 of the family's 1533-position model. The record is from RNAcentral.